UACGGAGGGUGCAAGCGUUACUCGGAAUUACUGGGCGUAAAGGGUGCGUAGGUGGUUUGUUAAGUCUUCCGUUAAAUCCAGCUGCUUAACAGAUGGGCUGCGGAAGAUACUAUGGAGCUAGGAGGCGGGAGAGGCAAGCGGUACUCGAUGGGUAGGGGUAAAAUCCGUUGAUCCAUUGAAGACCACCAGUGGCGAAGGCGGCUUGCCAGAACGCGCUCGACGGUGAGGGAUGAAAGCUGGGGGAGCAAACCGG
Molecule: ribosomal RNA, 253 nt
Filed under: uncultured bacterium
Lineage: Bacteria
Description: partial 16S ribosomal RNA
Rfam family: Bacterial small subunit ribosomal RNA
Source: RNAcentral